UUGAAUGCUGGCGGCAUGCUUUACACAUGCAAGUCGAACGGUAACAGGCCGCAAGGUGCUGACGAGUGGCGAACGGGUGAGUAAUGCAUCGGAACGUGCCCAGUCGUGGGGGAUAACUACUCGAAAGAGUAGCUAAUACCGCAUACGAUCUAUGGAUGAAAGCGGGGGACCGUAAGGCCUCGCGCGAUUGGAGCGGCCGAUGUCAGAUUAGGUAGUUGGUGGGGUAAAGGCUCACCAAGCCAACGAUCUGUAGCUGGUCUGAGAGGACGACCAGCCACACUGGGACUGAGACACGGCCCAGACUCCUACGGGAGGCAGCAGUGGGGAAUAUUGGACAAUGGGCGCAAGCCUGAUCCAACAAUGCCGCGUGCAGGAAGAAGGCCUUCGGGUUGUAAACUGCUUUUGUACGGAACGAAACGGCUCUGGUUAAUACCCGGGGCUAAUGACGGUACCGUAAGAAUAAGCACCGGCUAACUACGUG
Molecule: ribosomal RNA, 481 nt
Filed under: uncultured bacterium
Lineage: Bacteria
Description: partial 16S ribosomal RNA
Rfam family: Bacterial small subunit ribosomal RNA
Source: RNAcentral